Molecule: transfer RNA, 91 nt
Filed under: Candidatus Omnitrophota bacterium
Lineage: Bacteria; Pseudomonadati; Candidatus Omnitrophota
Description: tRNA-OTHER
Source: RNAcentral
GAUGAGAUAGUCCAAGCCUCGAGGUAACUUGAGGACCCUUGAAAUCUGGCGGCGCAAGCCUUCGAAGGUUCGAAUCCUUCCCUCACCACCA